UCCGGAUUUUAUUGGGUUUAAAGGGUCCGUAGGCGGAUUAAUAAGUCAGUGGUGAAAUCCCCAUCGCUUAACGAUGGAACUGCCCAUUGAUACUGUUAGUCUUGAAUGAGGGUGCAGUGGUUGGAAUGUGUAGUGUAGCGGUGAAAUGCAUAGAUAUUACACAGAACACCGAUUGCGAAGGCAGAUCACUAACCCUAAAUUGACGCUGAGGGACGAAAGCGUGGGGAGCGAACCAGGAUUAGAUACCCUCGGUAG
Molecule: ribosomal RNA, 255 nt
Filed under: uncultured bacterium
Lineage: Bacteria
Description: partial 16S ribosomal RNA
Rfam family: Bacterial small subunit ribosomal RNA
Source: RNAcentral